RNAcentral lists this ribosomal RNA (433 nucleotides) under uncultured bacterium. Its description in RNAcentral is "partial 16S ribosomal RNA". It matches the Rfam family "Bacterial small subunit ribosomal RNA", at positions 29 to 507 of the family's 1533-position model. The record is from RNAcentral.
AACGAACGCUGGCGGCAUGCCUAACACAUGCAAGUCGAACGAGACCUUCGGGUCUAGUGGCGCACGGGUGCGUAACGCGUGGGAACCUGCCCUUAGGUUCGGAAUAACUCCCCGAAAGGGGUGCUAAUACCGGAUAAUGUCUUCGGACCAAAGAUUUAUCGCCUUUGGAUGGGCCCGCGUUGGAUUAGCUAGUUGGUAGGGUAAAAGCCUACCAAGGCGACGAUCCAUAGCUGGUCUGAGAGGAUGAUCGGCCACACUGGGACUGAGACACGGCCCAGACUCCUACGGGAGGCAGCAGUGGGGAAUAUUGGAAAAUGGGCGAAAGCAUGAUCCAGCAAUGCCGCGUGAGUGAUGAAGGCCUUAGGGUUGUAAAGCUCUUUUACCCGGGAUGAUAAUGACAGUACCGGGAGAAUAAGCUCCGGCUAACUCCGUG